UACGGAGGGCGCAAGCGUUAUUCGGAGUCACUGGGCGUAAAGAGCGUGUAGGCGGCCGAGCAAGUUGGAUGUGAAAUCGCGAGGCUAAACCGGGGGAGGACAGUCGAGACUGCUGGGCUAGAGGCCGGGAGAGGAUGGCGGAAUUCCCGGUGUAGGGGUGAAAUCCGUAGAGAUCCGGAGGAACACCAGUGGUGCAGACGGCGAUCUGGACCGUGACUGACGCUGAGACGCGAAAGCGUGGGGAGCGAACGGG
This 253-nucleotide ribosomal RNA is filed under the name uncultured bacterium. RNAcentral's name for it is "partial 16S ribosomal RNA". It matches the Rfam family "Bacterial small subunit ribosomal RNA", at positions 524 to 776 of the family's 1533-position model. The record is from RNAcentral.